UGGGGAAUUUUGGACAAUGGGCGCAAGCCUGAUCCAGCCAUGCCGCGUGCGGGAAGAAGGCCUUCGGGUUGUAAACCGCUUUUGUCAGGGAAGAAAUCUUCUGAGUUAAUACCUCGGGAGGAUGACGGUACCUGAAGAAUAAGCACCGGCUAACUACGUGCCAGCAGCCGCGGUAAUACGUAGGGUGCAAGCGUUAAUCGGAAUUACUGGGCGUAAAGCGUGCGCAGGCGGUUUUGUAAGACAGAGGUGAAAUCCCCGGGCUCAACCUGGGAACUGCCUUUGUGACUGCAAGGCUUGAGUGCGGCAGAGGGGGAUGGAAUUCCGCGUGUAGCAGUGAAAUGCGUAGAUAUGCGGAGGAACACCGAUGGCGAAGGCAAUCCCCUGGGCCUGCACUGACGCUCAUGCACGAAAGCGUGGGGAGCAAACAGAUUAGAUACCCUGGUAGUCCACGCCCUAAACGAUGUCAACUGGUUGUUGGGAAGGUUCCUUCUCAGUAACGUAGCUAACGCGUGAAGUUGACCGCCUGGGGAGUACGGCCGCAAGGUUGAAACUCAAAUGAAUUGACGGGGU
Molecule: ribosomal RNA, 570 nt
Filed under: uncultured bacterium
Lineage: Bacteria
Description: partial 16S ribosomal RNA
Rfam family: Bacterial small subunit ribosomal RNA
Source: RNAcentral